UUUGAUUAAAACUCUGCGCCUGUAUCCAUUCCUGAGCUAACGUUAGCCCCUUGAGUACCACAUCGCUAGGGUUGGAUCUCUUAUCUUCAAAGAUCAGACGAUUUCGCGCUAUCCAGAUGGCCCAGCAUAUCCAACUCAGGAUUGGUGUAGAGAUACCAGAUGGGGGGAGACAAAUAGCCCUGCAAAAUUUGACCACUGCUGAUUCAAAAUCAUCAGUCACCGCUAUGUCUAUCUCUCUUAGUAGAGGGACUUGUUGCCAUACUGCUUUGGCGAAAGGGCAUAAAAAGAAGGCGUGCAUCGCCGUUUCCUUCUCACCGCAUCUUAGGCAGUUGACGUUUGCCAUCAUUCCUCUUCUCUCUGGAUCAUAGCGGGGUGUGUUGGCUACUGCAUUAUAGCCUGACUUCGUGGAGUAUACGCCAGAAGGGAGGGGGUGCCAGAUGUAGAUGUCUUCGGCCCCCGACAUACUUGGUUUCAGACUCUGAAUCUGCUCACUUAACUCUGAGACUGACAGGAAGCUCGAAACACGACAUCGUGAAGGACGGGAUGGCUGUGAGGACCGAUUGGAGCAUAGUGAGUUUGCCUGCCUUGGAGAGGAAGCGUGAAGACCAGCUAGCUGCACAUUGUCUUAUCCUGUCCACAAUAGAAGUAAAUAGGAUUUUCACUAGCGCGUUGCAGCUGGCUUGGGAGGAGUGGCAGAACAUCAUUGUGUCAUCAGCAAAAAGCAGAUGGUUGACACGGGGGCUUCCUCUUGAUACUCGAAUCCCUUUGAGAGUCUCAUUCCUUACUGCCAUCCUGCAUAAUCCGGAGAGGACUUCCCCACACAGAAUAAAGACAUACGGUGAAAGAGGAUCACCUUGUCUGAUACCCCGGGAAUAAGAGAUUUAUCCGGUGAUGGAUCAACGAUAGGAGUAAAGUGGAUGGGAGAAGUUGAUGAUAAGCCAUUCCUUAAAGUAUUCCAAAGCAUAUACAGUGAUGAAGCCAUUCAGUUGGAACACGCUGCCCUGCUUGUCUCGAAAUGGCAGGAAGCUAUCAGAGAUGCACAAUGGCACCCAUUCAAGCGUGUUGGCACUGGAGAGGAAAUGAAGGAAGUUGUGGAUGAUGAAGACGAGAAACUUCAGAAUCUGAAACUAGAGUGGGGAGAAGAUGUGCUGAACGCAGUAAAGGUAGCACUUGAGGAACUGAACAAGUUUAACCCAAGUGGUCGGUAUGAAUGUCCAGUGCUGUGGAAUUUUGAAUAUGGGAGAAAAGCCACACUCAAAGAAGGAAUUUCUCACAUGAUGGAACUCAUCAAACAUCUCAAAGGAACUUGAAAGGAAGCAGGGUGAACAAUAUCAAGGAUUCAAAAUAUUUUCUUAAAUCGUUUUUAAAUCGUUUUUAUUUCUUACUUAGUUGAUCUCUUUCUCUGUCCAUGGUUGAUGGAUACCCAACAAGAUUAGGCAAGAUAUUCAACAUUGUAAUUCAAAUUAAACCAUCUUAUUAAAGGUUUACUCAUCAUGCCAUGGAUGAUUUUUACAAUGUGAGAUAAGCUUGGUAUAAACUGAAAGUCAAUGGUUUCUUGAAAA
This is a long non-coding RNA of Raphanus sativus (radish), 1562 nucleotides long. RefSeq lists it as uncharacterized. Lineage: Eukaryota; Viridiplantae; Streptophyta; Magnoliopsida; Brassicales; Brassicaceae. The transcript has 7 exons. The record is from RefSeq and is a predicted model, not a curated record.